UACGUAGGGGGCAAGCGUUGUCCGGAUUUACUGGGCGUAAAGGGCGCGUAGGCGGUCAGCACAAGUCAGUUGUGAAAUCUCCGGGCUUAACUCGGAAAGGUCAACUGAUACUGUGCGACUAGAGUGCAGAAGGGGCAACUGGAAUUCUCGGUGUAGCGGUGAAAUGCGUAGAUAUCGAGAGGAACACCUGCGGCGAAAGCGACUCUCUGGACGGCAACUGACGCUGAGGCACGAAAGCGUGGGGAGCAAACAGG
RNAcentral lists this ribosomal RNA (254 nucleotides) under uncultured bacterium. RNAcentral's name for it is "partial 16S ribosomal RNA". It matches the Rfam family "Bacterial small subunit ribosomal RNA", at positions 524 to 776 of the family's 1533-position model. The record is from RNAcentral.